This 77-nucleotide non-coding RNA is filed under the name Nitrospira defluvii. Its description in RNAcentral is "crcB". It matches the Rfam family "Fluoride riboswitch aptamer (crcB RNA motif)". The record is from RNAcentral. Lineage: Bacteria; Pseudomonadati; Nitrospirota; Nitrospiria; Nitrospirales; Nitrospiraceae.
UUGGUCAUCGGUGAUGGAGUUCACCGAGAACCGCCGACCCUGACACCCCAUGCUCGGCUGAUAACUCCUACCAGCGC